UUUUUUUUUACUAUUUUCCCUUAUUUUUAGCUUUAAUUUGUUUUAUUCUCUAUAAAAAGGAUCCUUAUUUUAUUUGUUGGAACCCAAGAGAAGAGUAAUAUACAAUAAUUUGUCUUCAUUGUUAUUAAAUGAGAUUAAGAGAAAUUUCAGUUUAUUAUGAGAUUAAUAGAUAAUGUAAAUGAAGAGGAAAAUCUUUGUGCUUAUAUUGUUGCUCUUGUUCCCGAGGCAAAUAUUGUUUUGCCAUACCAUCAUUUUUUAGUGAUUUAUUCUCUAUAUUUCAGCUUGAACCUGCAUGUUGUUUCAAGUUAAAAAAAAAAUAAUGAUGAGGAAAUUGUAAAGCCUUAUUUUGAGGUAAAUUUUGAUCAAAUUGAUAUUUUAAAAUGAUAUAGGAUAGGCAUAAAAUUCAAUCCUUUGGUUUAUUAAAAAUUGACUAUACAUAUUUUACGAUAAUGAUCAAAAUAUAUCCUUCAAAUUUUUCGUUUGGGUGUCAUGAGUCAUAUACACACAGUGGGAUAAAACAUGAUUCAACAUAUUUAUAGAAAGAAAACUUACUUGUUACAAUAUUGUGUGGAGAUUGACAUGGAGCCACUUCUUGCAAUUGAUUUUACAUUAAAGAUAUCCUAUUCUCGAUUACUAAAGUUAUCAUAUUUAAAAAUUACCUAGGUAGAAAAGUUAUCUAUGGUUAUAAUAUCCUUUUUUAAACAUAGAAUGUCCUCUCCCACCUCUCAAUAUUUUUUGAAUUGACAAAUUCAGAGGUGUAUUUUUGACAAAAACACACAUUCGAAUUGGCUAAUCAAAAUAUAUAAUUUGAAGGCUUUUAAGAAC
RNAcentral lists this long non-coding RNA (825 nucleotides) under Cicer arietinum (chickpea). RNAcentral describes it as "long non-coding RNA (CARI_LNC003215)". Lineage: Eukaryota; Viridiplantae; Streptophyta; Magnoliopsida; Fabales; Fabaceae. The record is from RNAcentral.